Molecule: ribosomal RNA, 466 nt
Filed under: uncultured bacterium
Lineage: Bacteria
Description: partial 16S ribosomal RNA
Rfam family: Bacterial small subunit ribosomal RNA
Source: RNAcentral
GACGAACGCUGGCGGCGUGCUUAACACAUGCAAGUCGAACGGAAAGGCCCUGCUUGCAGGGUACUCGAGUGGCGAACGGGUGAGUAACACGUGGGUGAUCUGCCCUGCACUUCGGGAUAAGCUUGGGAAACUGGGUCUAAUACCGGAUAGGAACCAUCUUUAGUGUGGGGGUUGGAAAGUUUUUUCGGUGUAGGAUGAGCUCGCGGCCUAUCAGCUUGUUGGUGGGGUAAUGGCCUACCAAGGCGGCGACGGGUAGCCGGCCUGAGAGGGUGUACGGCCACAUUAGGACUGAGAUACGGCCCAGACUCCUACGGGAGGCAGCAGUGGGGAAUAUUGCACAAUGGGCGCAAGCCUGAUGCAGCGACGCCUCGUGGGGGAUGAAGGCCUUCGGGUUGUAAACUCCUUUCGCUAGGGACGAAGCGUUGUUGUGACGGUACCUAGAUAAGAAGCACCGGCUAACUACGUG